UCUCGUUUUUUCUUCAAUAUCUCGCAAUUUUUCAACUUGGUGGACGCAUUGCUUCUUGGACCGGUGCUAGCUAGCUUCUCCUUCCCUCAAGGCAGCCACAAUACCGCCACAACCCCAACCAAGGUCGACAUUUAGCCAAAAUUCCGAAAUUGCCCCCAACCAAGGUCAAAAUUCUCAUCUUCUUUAUGAUUUUUCUGUUUUAGAUGAUAAAUAGUGAGUAUUUUUCAAGUUUGUUGAGUGAUUAUGUUUGUAUUUUGAUAUAUGAAUUGGUUAUGCAUUUUGUUGGAUUGUAUGUAUUUUGUUGGUUAUGCAUUUUGUUGGAUUGUUGAAUUAUUAUGUGUGUUUUGUUCACAUUUGUGGGAAUUUUGUUGGAUUGUAUGUAUUUUGUUGAAAUUUAUGUUUAGAUUACAUUGAAGUUAUACCACAUUGCCUUAACAUGAAACUUAGAUGUAUAUAUUUGUAUGAAAUUGGAAUAUGCAAAUUGGAUUAAAUUGGAAUAUGCAAAUUGUAUGAAAUUGAAUAUAUACAUUUGGCUUAAUUGUAUGAAAUUGGAUGAAAUUGAAAUAUGCAUUUAGCUUAAUUAGGUUAUUGAAAUAUGAAAUCUGAUGUAUACAUUUAGCUUAAUUAGGCUAUUAAUAGCAACUUACUUCUAGGAAUGUGUUGUAUAUGGUUGGAAAGUGCUUAAUUUUGUUAGUGACUUAAUGUUUGGCCAACUUAAUAGCAACAUACUUUUAGUGACUUAAUGUUGGUCAUUACAACUUUAGCUUUAAUUAGGUUAUUAAUAGCAAUGUAUUUCUAGUAAUUUUAAUUUAAAUAGAAUAAAAUUAAAUUAAUUUAAAAAAACAUUAAAAAAUAAUAAAUUAAUUGUAAAAUCAACUUAAUGUUUUCCCUCCGUGUGUCGCCGCUAAUGCCCUAAUGUCGCCGCUAUUGCCCUACGUCGCCGCUAAUAGCCGUCGCCGCUAAUGCUAAACGCAUAUACCCUUCACAGUUUACCUUUCUGCCAUUCACAGCUGAUACUUCUCUCUCGUUUUUUCUUCAAUAUCUCGCAGUUUUUCAACUUGGUGGACGCAUUGCUUCUUGGACCGGUGCUAGCUAGCUUCUCCUUCCCUCAAGGCAGCCACAAUACCGCCACAACCCCAACCAAGGUCGACAUUUAGCCAAAAUUCCGAAAUUGCCCCCAACCAAGGUCAAAAUUCUCAUCUUCUUUAUGAUUUUUCUGUUUUAGAUGAUAAAUAGUGAGUAUUUUUCAAGUUUGUUGAGUGAUUAUGUUUGUAUUUUGAUAUAUGAAUUGGUUAUGCAUUUUGUUGGAUUGUAUGUAUUUUGUUGGUUAUGCAUUUUGUUGGAUUGUUGAAUUAUUAUGUGUGUUUUGUUCACAUUUGUGGGAAUUUUGUUGGAUUGUAUGUAUUUUGUUGAAAUUUAUGUUUAGAUUACAUUGAAGUUAUACCACAUUGCCUUAACAUGAAACUUAGAUGUAUA
Molecule: long non-coding RNA, 1476 nt
Filed under: Lactuca sativa (garden lettuce)
Lineage: Eukaryota; Viridiplantae; Streptophyta; Magnoliopsida; Asterales; Asteraceae
Description: long non-coding RNA (LSAT_LNC005324)
Source: RNAcentral